RNAcentral lists this ribosomal RNA (253 nucleotides) under uncultured bacterium. Its description in RNAcentral is "partial 16S ribosomal RNA". It matches the Rfam family "Bacterial small subunit ribosomal RNA", at positions 524 to 776 of the family's 1533-position model. The record is from RNAcentral.
UACAGAGGUCUCAAGCGUUGUUCGGAUUCAUUGGGCGUAAAGGGUGCGUAGGUGGCGCGGUAAGUCGGGUGUGAAAUCUCGGAGCUUAACUUCGAAAUUGCAUUCGAUACUGCCGUGCUUGAGGACUGGAGAGGAGACUGGAAUUCAUGGUGUAGCAGUGAAAUGCGUAGAGAUCAUGAGGAAGACCAGUGGCGAAGGCGGGUCUCUGGACAGUUCCUGACACUGAGGCACGAAGGCUAGGGGAGCAAACGGG